CCUACGGGGGGCAGCAGUGGGGAAUAUUGCACAAUGGGGAAAACCCUGAUGCAGCGACGCCGCGUGCAGGACGAAGUAUUUAGGUACGUACCCUUCUCUCCGCCGGGCCGACCCUGCCGGUCCCUGCCCAAGAAGCCCCGGCUAACUACGUGCCAGCAGCCGCGGUAAUCCGUCGGGGGCAAGCGUUCUCCGGAUUUCCUGGGUGUAAAGGGCGCGUCGCCGGCCCUGCCCGUCUGCU
This 238-nucleotide ribosomal RNA is filed under the name uncultured bacterium. Its description in RNAcentral is "partial 16S ribosomal RNA". It matches the Rfam family "Bacterial small subunit ribosomal RNA", at positions 338 to 593 of the family's 1533-position model. The record is from RNAcentral.